RNAcentral lists this small RNA (745 nucleotides) under Pongo abelii (Sumatran orangutan). RNAcentral describes it as "processed transcript". Lineage: Eukaryota; Metazoa; Chordata; Mammalia; Primates; Hominidae. The record is from RNAcentral.
GCGGACGGGAAGGCGGGAGAGGAGAAGCCUGAAAAGUCGCAGCGAGCUGGAGCCGCCGGAGAGUGAACCAGAGGAAAUGCCUCCAGAAGCAAAGAUGAGGAUGAAGAAUAUUGGAAGGGAUACACCAACAUCAGCUGGACCAAACUCCUUCAAUAAAGGAAAGCAUGGGUUUUCUGAUAACCAGAAGCUGUGGGAGCGAAAUAUAAAAUCUCAUCUUGGAAAUGUCCAUGACCAAGACAAUUAAAUGAUGUUUUGAAAUUGGGGUGUGGGGUGGGUGUAAAGUUAAAAGGAACAGUUUCCUUUUUUAAAGAAUGGUAUAAGACUAUCUUUGGAGCCGCUUUUUUUUUCUUUUUCAUUUUUUUAAAAGAUUGAGUGGUACACUAAUAAAUGAGAGUUUGAAAUUAGAGGUAAUUUAUGUUUUAUAUACAGAUUUCAAGACAUUUGCUAAUUUUGUAGUUUCAUGUGAUUAGUUUCCAAAGGUUACAGAUAAUAAAGAAAUCAGAAAUGGUACCUUUUUAAGAAUUGCAUAUUUUUUUAGACACAACUAUUAGCACAUUAAGAGGGAAGCAAAAAGUUACUGUCUAUUUAAAACUGCAAGCAGUUAACUCUCUUAACUCCCUUAUUACCUAAACUUGUCUGGCUCCCAGGAACAGCCUUAUAGAGAGAGGGAGUAUUGUAUUGGGAAGAAAAUGUUACUGAACUAUUGACUGAAAGUAAAUUUAGAUAAAAUACAGCUUUUUUCCCU